RNAcentral lists this transfer RNA (58 nucleotides) under Menacanthus cornutus. Its description in RNAcentral is "tRNA-Thr". Lineage: Eukaryota; Metazoa; Arthropoda; Insecta; Psocodea; Menoponidae. The record is from RNAcentral.
ACAAUUAGUAGUUUAAAGUAAAACACUGAUCUUGUAAAUCAGAGAUAAUACGAUUGUA